This 439-nucleotide ribosomal RNA is filed under the name uncultured bacterium. RNAcentral's name for it is "partial 16S ribosomal RNA". It matches the Rfam family "Bacterial small subunit ribosomal RNA", at positions 339 to 795 of the family's 1533-position model. The record is from RNAcentral.
CUACGGGGGGCUGCAGUGGGGAAUCUUAGACAAUGGGCGCAAGCCUGAUCUAGCCAUGCCGCGUGAGUGACGAAGGCCUUAGGGUCGUAAAGCUCUUUCGCCAGGGAUGAUAAUGACAGUACCUGGUAAAGAAACCCCGGCUAACUCCGUGCCAGCAGCCGCGGUAAUACGGAGGGGGUUAGCGUUGUUCGGAAUUACUGGGCGUAAAGCGCGCGUAGGCGGAUUGGAAAGUUGGGGGUGAAAUCCCGGGGCUCAACCCCGGAACUGCCUCCAAAACUAUCAGUCUAGAGUUCGAGAGAGGUGAGUGGAAUUCCGAGUGUAGAGGUGAAAUUCGUAGAUAUUCGGAGGAACACCAGUGGCGAAGGCGGCUCACUGGCUCGAUACUGACGCUGAGGUGCGAAAGUGUGGGGAGCAAACAGGAUUAGAUACCCCAGUAGUC